RNAcentral lists this long non-coding RNA (3564 nucleotides) under Vigna radiata. RNAcentral's name for it is "long non-coding RNA (VRAD_LNC002272)". Lineage: Eukaryota; Viridiplantae; Streptophyta; Magnoliopsida; Fabales; Fabaceae. The record is from RNAcentral.
GAUGAAGAUUUGAUAUAAAUGUGGUUCACUUGUCAGAGUAUGCCUUGUUCUUUUCGAGGUUGAACAGUUGCCCACUUGGGUUAUUCCAAUUGACUCCUUCCACUUUUGGCACCUGAGAAGUAUUUUGUUGCUGGUAUUUGUUCUCUUCGGGUGCUUUCUUUGUAUUUCCAAUAUCUUUAAGUCNCUUUGAUGGAGUCGGUUCUUCAGUUAUAUCUGACCCCAGCUUUCUCUUUUCACGAGCAUUUCUCUUAAGAUUCUUUUCAUUUUCCUNUGCAGACUUGGAUUCCUGAUGUAUCCUGAAUAACUGUAGUUCUUCCAGCCGAGGGGUUACAUAAGGAAAGGCAGUUUAUGGAGUAAGCUUGACCGUGUCAUUAACAGUUAAAUAACACAUGCUGAUACGAGAAUCUGUAUAUGAACGUUUCGAUCUUAAUAAAACCAAUGUGGCCAAGAUAAGGGCACAAUGGUAAAUUUAUUGCCUUGUGACCUAGAGAUUACAAGUUCAAAUCUUACAGUACUGUCUUCCCUAAAAGGAGCAAUGCUAUCUUCAUCUACCCUCCCGAUACUCCUUUAGCCAAGAGGGUAGGUACCUAGUUGUCCCUUUUAAAGGUGGGCAACAAGGAAACCUAAUUGACAGGGAUUAAGUCAGCCGAAUGUAUACAAGGCAUUCCUUGUACUCCAGAUAACUGAUACAAACCUUCAAACAACCAUACCCAAACGCUAGACACUAAGGUUGGGUGUUAAAUGUAUGGAAAUACUUAGUGUUUUAAUUGCUAAAAGUCAGAUAUUGAUUUAUUCUUUGUGUCCUUAAUUAUUUCCUAUCUUCAUUAUAAAUAAACAUCAUGUGUGUGGGUCAUGUGUGUGGGUGUAACACACAUUCAAGGUAGUUGAAUAGGAAUUACAACUCAUGAAUAAAAAGCCAAUUUUUAGAAUAAUGAACCAAAUUGUAUAAUUAAUAGUAAGAUUCAUGAUCAAUAAAAAAAACAUAGUAUAGAUACAUACACAUACACACACUCAUGAGUGUAAGACAAAAGAUUACAACCAUAAGUAUAGAGAACACAAAGAAACACCUAACAAAUGAGAACAUACAUACAUACAUAUAUUAUUUAGCUUAAAAUAUUAUACAUUAUGUUUAAUUUAGUUUUUUCUUAUGCAAUGAUUUAAAUAAGUUUUUAUAUAAAUUUUUUUAAUGUUACUAUUGUUAUUGUUACUACUAAUUAUAUGAUUGCUUGUGUUUGCAUUUUUUAAAAUUUUAAAAAAAUAAUAUAAGCCAUUAUCAAAGAUUGCAAUUAAUAAGUUAUUAACAAAAAGAAUUCUUUAAAUUAUACACUAAAUUGUCUUCUCUGUUUAUUCAAUCUAGAUGUUGAAAAUAAAAGUUGAAUGGAGUGGUUGGAGAAAAAAAGAGCUAUUAUGCGUCUUAUAUGUAGAAAAAAAAAUUAUACAUACAGAUAAUUUAGAAAAAAAUUAUGUACAGUUAAUGGUGAAGUCGCUGUUAUAUGUUGCUAUAGAUUAUACAGUAAACAAUUGUUCACAAUUAAUUAGAAGUUAAAUGUGACCCAUUUAAUAUGAUAAACAUAUUUUACUCUAAUUGAGGCCCUAGACGCAACAAAUAAGGAAACAGAAACCUCAACAUGAAAUCCUAAUGACCCGUAUUAGCUAGCGCUGCCACUCAAACUGAAACUUNUAUGAUAGGAAAUGAAAGGUUAAUGGUGACACAAUGGAGAUUGCAGAGGGUUUGGCAUGGCAGUUUUAGUUGGGCUUCAGUGCUAAAACACCAGAGAAACAUGGUUGUGGCAGAUCCCUCAGAAUUGGACCACAACUUGCAGCACCUCUAGAACAAGCCCUAGAAUUGGACAAUCCACAUUUGCAUAUAAUUCUGGAUAUUCACGUGUGAAUCCUUCAAUUCAACCUUAUUUGGGUUAAAAAAAUAUUAACUGCGCGACUUGCUUGAGUUUUGAAUCAUANUGUAUAUAGUAUCCCACAAUACUAACUAUAAUUCAAAAAUUCAAAUAAACACUGUUUGUAUAUAGGGGAUAACCCAAGACCAUAUAAACCCCACAUCAGAACCAUAUACUACUAGUNUAGGUUUCUAGUCACAUAACUUAUAUCGAAACAAAUAAAAGUUAAAAUUUUCAACAAUCAUUAAUGUAUUAUUACUCACUUUAGAUUCAAUUAUAAUAAUUUUCCACCUAAAUAGCCGAUAGAAAUUACUCUUUUAAAUUUUGAUGUGUUUAGUUUGAUUGGUAAGACUACUGCUCAGGGGGAGACAUUAGGAUACCAUGAAAAAUGACUAAAAUAUAUUUAAAUACAGUCAUUGGAUAUUUCUCGCCUUGACAAAUUAGGGGUGGAAACAAGUCGGGUCAGGCUAGGAUUUGAUGGCCCCAUCUUGGCCUAUGCUAUAAUUACUUAGCCUGCGCCUUACCUAUUCACUUAUUACAGGCUAUUUUUUUAAGUCUUGGUCUAACCUGCUUAAAGUUUGUCCUGACCAGCUCUAUAAAAGGCAUGCAUACAUUCUUUAUCACCUAAAUUAUUUCAAUUUUUGUAAAGACUAAUAUUAACAUUAAAAAAUUAAACAAUAAGUGGGUGAAACGGAUAAAUUCCCGAGACAAUAAUUUUCCAGAAACAGAGUAAGAAAACUGAGAUCUUAUAACAGUGCAAUAUGUAAAGGUAUAUAAUCCUUUUAUAAUGAAUGAAAAGGAAGAAACAGAGAAUGUAAUGUUCAACACAAUUUUCGUAAAUAUUGAUUCUACUGUAAGCGCUGACACAACUCCACGGGUAUCUUCUGGAAUAUUGUAACCUGAUAGAAGAAGAGAUCUUUUCAGAAUAAGAAUGGACAAAGGAACAUUUUAGAGAGAGAGAAAGAGAGAGCAUAACAGAAUUUGUCAGAGAGAAAAUUACCACACGCAUGAAUGAUCUCAGAGCACAUAAUCUUUUAGAAAUACAUUAUUUCUUUUACACCUCAUGCUUUUCCUUUGGCCUUCUCUUUGCUCAUUGCUUGCCAUGUCUAACAAACUUUUCUCCCCUAUCCAACUCAGUGUUUUGUAUUUCAUUUUUUUUACACGUUACAGUGGGACGUGGUCCUCUACAAAAACUAAAUAAUUAAAAUUUAUUANGAGAUCAUUGCCACCAAAUAAUAUCUAAAGAUUCACAAGCACUAUUAAUUAGAAAUAGAAAUAUAAACAGACAUUGCCCAUCAAUGAGGUAACCAAACUAUUCAUAAUAAGUCAAUACUCAUCCACAGAAUACUAGAGAACACAUCCAUAAGGGACAGAAGUCCACAAAAUAAAUGGACUGGCCUAGUAGACUUUUUUAUGGCCUCUUUAAAUACGUUUUUCAAAAAGAUUUAGCCUGACCUUAGUAAACAAGACAGGUCAGGCCCUAUGCCUCCCUUGCAAUACAAUAGUUGCACACAAUCUCUUCUAAAAGCUUGGGCUGUUAGGUAGAGAUUACUCUUAUAUCCAAUAGAUGUUUUACAAGAAUAAAUAUAAUGGAGAGUUCAGAAAUAAUGAAAAUGAAUUUAAAAAGAAAUGUGUACCUUGAGAGAUGCAUGAUCAAAAUCUUCCAGGU